RNAcentral lists this ribosomal RNA (257 nucleotides) under uncultured Gardnerella sp. Its description in RNAcentral is "partial 16S ribosomal RNA". It matches the Rfam family "Bacterial small subunit ribosomal RNA", at positions 99 to 356 of the family's 1533-position model. Lineage: Bacteria; Bacillati; Actinomycetota; Actinomycetes; Bifidobacteriales; Bifidobacteriaceae. The record is from RNAcentral.
CGAACGGGUGAGUAAUGCGUGACCAACCUCGCCCCAUGCUCCAGAAUAGCUCUUGGAAACGGGUGGUAAUGCUGGAUGCUCCAACUUGACGCAUGUCUUGUUGGGAAAGUGUUUAGUGGCAUGGGAUGGGGUCGCGUCCUAUCAGCUUGUAGGCGGGGUAAUGGCCCACCUAGGCUUCGACGGGUAGCCGGCCUGAGAGGGCGGACGGCCACAUUGGGACUGAGAUACGGCCCAGACUCCUACGGGAGGCAGCAGCG